RNAcentral lists this ribosomal RNA (2549 nucleotides) under Escherichia coli. Its description in RNAcentral is "partial 23S ribosomal RNA". It matches the Rfam family "Bacterial large subunit ribosomal RNA", at positions 397 to 2925 of the family's 2925-position model. Lineage: Bacteria; Pseudomonadati; Pseudomonadota; Gammaproteobacteria; Enterobacterales; Enterobacteriaceae. The record is from RNAcentral.
CUGUGAGCUCGAUGAGUAGGGCGGGACACGUGGUAUCCUGUCUGAAUAUGGGGGGACCAUCCUCCAAGGCUAAAUACUCCUGACUGACCGAUAGUGAACCAGUACCGUGAGGGAAAGGCGAAAAGAACCCCGGCGAGGGGAGUGAAAAAGAACCUGAAACCGUGUACGUACAAGCAGUGGGAGCCUCUUUUAUGGGGUGACUGCGUACCUUUUGUAUAAUGGGUCAGCGACUUAUAUUCUGUAGCAAGGUUAACCGAAUAGGGGAGCCGAAGGGAAACCGAGUCUUAACUGGGCGUUAAGUUGCAGGGUAUAGACCCGAAACCCGGUGAUCUAGCCAUGGGCAGGUUGAAGGUUGGGUAACACUAACUGGAGGACCGAACCGACUAAUGUUGAAAAAUUAGCGGAUGACUUGUGGCUGGGGGUGAAAGGCCAAUCAAACCGGGAGAUAGCUGGUUCUCCCCGAAAGCUAUUUAGGUAGCGCCUCGUGAAUUCAUCUCCGGGGGUAGAGCACUGUUUCGGCAAGGGGGUCAUCCCGACUUACCAACCCGAUGCAAACUGCGAAUACCGGAGAAUGUUAUCACGGGAGACACACGGCGGGUGCUAACGUCCGUCGUGAAGAGGGAAACAACCCAGACCGCCAGCUAAGGUCCCAAAGUCAUGGUUAAGUGGGAAACGAUGUGGGAAGGCCCAGACAGCCAGGAUGUUGGCUUAGAAGCAGCCAUCAUUUAAAGAAAGCGUAAUAGCUCACUGGUCGAGUCGGCCUGCGCGGAAGAUGUAACGGGGCUAAACCAUGCACCGAAGCUGCGGCAGCGACACUAUGUGUUGUUGGGUAGGGGAGCGUUCUGUAAGCCUGUGAAGGUGGCCUGUGAGGGUUGCUGGAGGUAUCAGAAGUGCGAAUGCUGACAUAAGUAACGAUAAAGCGGGUGAAAAGCCCGCUCGCCGGAAGACCAAGGGUUCCUGUCCAACGUUAAUCGGGGCAGGGUGAGUCGACCCCUAAGGCGAGGCCGAAAGGCGUAGUCGAUGGGAAACAGGUUAAUAUUCCUGUACUUGGUGUUACUGCGAAGGGGGGACGGAGAAGGCUAUGUUGGCCGGGCGACGGUUGUCCCGGUUUAAGCGUGUAGGCUGGUUUUCCAGGCAAAUCCGGAAAAUCAAGGCUGAGGCGUGAUGACGAGGCACUACGGUGCUGAAGCGACAAAUGCCCUGCUUCCAGGAAAAGCCUCUAAGCAUCAGGUAACAUUAAAUCGUACCCCAAACCGACACAGGUGGUCAGGUAGAGAAUACCAAGGCGCUUGAGAGAACUCGGGUGAAGGAACUAGGCAAAAUGGUGCCGUAACUUCGGGAGAAGGCACGCUGAUAUGUAGGUGAAGCGACUUGCUCGUGGAGCUGAAAUCAGUCGAAGAUACCAGCUGGCUGCAACUGUUUAUUAAAAACACAGCACUGUGCAAACACGAAAGUGGACGUAUACGGUGUGACGCCUGCCCGGUGCCGGAAGGUUAAUUGAUGGGGUUAGCGGCAACGCGAAGCUCUUGAUCGAAGCCCCGGUAAACGGCGGCCGUAACUAUAACGGUCCUAAGGUAGCGAAAUUCCUUGUCGGGUAAGUUCCGACCUGCACGAAUGGCGUAAUGAUGGCCAGGCUGUCUCCACCCGAGACUCAGUGAAAUUGAACUCGCUGUGAAGAUGCAGUGUACCCGCGGCAAGACGGAAAGACCCCGUGAACCUUUACUAUAGCUUGACACUGAACAUUGAGCCUUGAUGUGUAGGAUAGGUGGGAGGCUUUGAAGUGUGGACGCCAGUCUGCAUGGAGCCGACCUUGAAAUACCACCCUUUAAUGUUUGAUGUUCUAACGUGGGCCCGUAAUCCGGGUUGCGGACAGUGUCUGGUGGGUAGUUUGACUGGGGCGGUCUCCUCCUAAAGAGUAACGGAGGAGCACGAAGGUUGGCUAAUCCUGGUCGGACAUCAGGAGGUUAGUGCAAUGGCAUAAGCCAGCUUGACUGCGAGCGUGACGGCGCGAGCAGGUGCGAAAGCAGGUCAUAGUGAUCCGGUGGUUCUGAAUGGAAGGGCCAUCGCUCAACGGAUAAAAGGUACUCCGGGGAUAACAGGCUGAUACCGCCCAAGAGUUCAUAUCGACGGCGGUGUUUGGCACCUCGAUGUCGGCUCAUCACAUCCUGGGGCUGAAGUAGGUCCCAAGGGUAUGGCUGUUCGCCAUUUAAAGUGGUACGCGAGCUGGGUUUAGAACGUCGUGAGACAGUUCGGUCCCUAUCUGCCGUGGGCGCUGGAGAACUGAGGGGGGCUGCUCCUAGUACGAGAGGACCGGAGUGGACGCAUCACUGGUGUUCGGGUUGUCAUGCCAAUGGCACUGCCCGGUAGCUAAAUGCGGAAGAGAUAAGUGCUGAAAGCAUCUAAGCACGAAACUUGCCCCGAGAUGAGUUCUCCCUGACCCUUUAAGGGUCCUGAAGGAACGUUGAAGACGACGACGUUGAUAGGCCGGGUGUGUAAGCGCAGCGAUGCGUUGAGCUAACCGGUACUAAUGAACCGUGAGGCUUAACCUU